Molecule: ribosomal RNA, 467 nt
Filed under: uncultured bacterium
Lineage: Bacteria
Description: partial 16S ribosomal RNA
Rfam family: Bacterial small subunit ribosomal RNA
Source: RNAcentral
GACGAACGCUGGCGGCGUGCUUAACACAUGCAAGUCGAACGGAAAGGCCCUGCUUUUGUGGGGUGCUCGAGUGGCGAACGGGUGAGUAACACGUGAGUAACCUGCCCUUGACUUUGGGAUAACUUCAGGAAACUGGGGCUAAUACCGGAUAGGAGCUCCUGCUGCAUGGUGGGGGUUGGAAAGUUUCGGCGGUUGGGGAUGGACUCGCGGCUUAUCAGCUUGUUGGUGGGGUAGUGGCUUACCAAGGAUUUGACGGGUAGCCGGCCUGGGAGGGUGACCGGCCUCAUUGGGACUGAGAUGCGGCCCAGACUCCUACGGGAGGCAGCAGUGGGAAUAUUGCACAAUGGGCGGAAGCCUGAUGCAGCAACGCCGCGUGCGGGAUGACGGCCUUCGGGUUGUAAACCGCUUUCGCCUGUGACGAAGCGUGAGUGACGGUAAUGGGUAAAGAAGCACCGGCUAACUACGUG